UGGGGAAUAUUGGACAAUGGGCGAAAGCCUGAUCCAGCAAUGCCGCGUGAGCGAUGAAGGCCUUAGGGUUGUAAAGCUCUUUUACCCGGGAUGAUAAUGACAGUACCGGGAGAAUAAGUCCCGGCUAACUCCGUGCCAGCAGCCGCGGUAAUACGGAGGGGGCUAGCGUUGUUCGGAAUUACUGGGCGUAAAGCGCGCGUAGGCGGCUUUGUAAGUCAGAGGUGAAAGCCUGGAGCUCAACUCCAGAACUGCCUUUGAAACUACGUCGCUAGAAUCAUGGAGAGGUUAGUGGAAUUCCGAGUGUAGAGGUGAAAUUCGUAGAUAUUCGGAAGAACACCAGUGGCGAAGGCGACUAACGGGACAUGUAUUGACGCUGAGGUGCGAAAGCGUGGGGAGCAAA
Molecule: ribosomal RNA, 400 nt
Filed under: uncultured bacterium
Lineage: Bacteria
Description: bacterial SSU rRNA
Rfam family: Bacterial small subunit ribosomal RNA
Source: RNAcentral